Molecule: long non-coding RNA, 2875 nt
Organism: Arvicola amphibius (Eurasian water vole)
Lineage: Eukaryota; Metazoa; Chordata; Mammalia; Rodentia; Cricetidae
Exons: 3
Source: RefSeq, a predicted model, not a curated record
CUGCCCAGAUCACUGAAGCAGCAGGAUGUGAUCUCCACCACUGAAAAAAAGGGAAUGUUGAGGAAGUCAUGGCUGAAGCCCACUCAGAGGUAAACGGCAUCUCUUCCAGGAAUAGAACUAAGACAGAUGGGGACAGCAGAGGACAUUUCGGGGAUACCAAGGAUCACACAGAAGUCUGGAGGGGGGUCUGCUGAAUGACAUGAAGGCACUUGGCACAAAUGCCAUCACCUGAAAUUACCUUGAUGUGACAUAUUUCCCAACCUCCCCCUCAUUAUUAUUUUUCUUAUAAAUGUUUUCUUGUUUAAGUUAAUAUUUUAUUUUCCUCAUUUUAUUUGAAGAGUUUCUUUUUAUAAACAUAGAAGGAAUAGGUAGUGAUAAUUGUGGACAUAACAUAUAUUAGACUAGGUAAAUGAAAAAUACUAAGUUAAACUGCCCCCUUCUCAAUGAAACGCCUAUUCUCUAUCCUGAUAAGGGAGUUGGCAGUCAACUCUCUGCCCUGUGUCUUUCUGAGAGUUUCCCUCCACUGAAGAAAGCUGCCCUGCCCAAGGUUACAAUCCUUUCCUGGAGUUCAGUAACUUCCAACGACUGGUCAAUGAUGGGAGACAGGGUCUAAGGCCAGGCUCUUUUACUUCAAGAAGGAAGCUCUGAAGAAUAGUUCCCGUGAAAGCCUCUUUUCCUGGGUCACUGCACAGACUCCAUCACUGUGUCUUUGUUUUGUCUGUGAAGGUGAGUUUUGCAUUUUGUUGCUAUUUUGCUUUGUCUUCGAUGUUGCUGAGAUAGGAUCCCACUGUGGAAUUCAAGCUUGCCUCACACUCACUUUGUAGCUAAGGUUGGCCUCAAACUCAUAGAGAUCUUUCCGCCUCGGGCUCCCACAAGCUGAGAUUACCAGUGUGCUCCAUCACACCCAGCUAGUACCACUUUGUCCAGAGACCAACACUGAGGGUCCAGCCUGGUCUGCACAGCUAGUGCCAGGACAGGCUCCAAAACUACACAGGGAAAUCCUGUCUCAAAAACAAACAAAAAAAAAAAAACAGCGAAGAUGCCAUUUUUCCAAUUCUUCCACGAAACCAGUCAUCUGUCUGCUUGAUAGCGAACUGGCUGCACUUGAGGGAUCAGGGAUAUGUUUUGACUAGAGCUAAAAGUAGCCUGAGUGUGGAUUCACCUUUUCUGCCCUCAGGGAUCAAAAUCUGGAGUAUCUGACCCAUCACCCCAGAGUUCUGCAUAGAGAUUUUAUUGGACUCAGAAAACUACAGCUGAGUAAACCAUGAGUGUGCGGUGAGGGCUGACUGUUCCUAUUCUCUCCAGCUUCCAUUGCCAGAGAAUCAACAAGAUAGACAACCCUUAUCCAAACUAACUAAAAGGCAGAGAGAGAGAGAGAAUAUCCAAAUUAACACAAUGAGAAACAAAAGGGGGACAUAACAACAGAUAGCAAGAAAAUCCAGAGAAUCAUAAGGGCAUACUUUACAAACCUGUACUCCACCAAAUUCGAAAAUAAAAAAAAUGCUAUUUUUCUCCAAAAUGCCACUUAAAUCAAUAUCAGGUAAACAAUUGAAAUUGACCUGUAGCCCCUAGUGAAAUAGAAACUGUUGCAGGAUAAUUGAUCACAUUGAUACUCGGAGAAUGCUAAAGUUAACCUUGAAUCAUGGACGGAGUCAGUGACUAGCUGACCAAAAUUAGUCAUAGAGACUUUGGAGGCACAGAGAAUAGUAGGAAUGGGCUUAGGAUCUUACAAAGAUUUUCUGCUUGAGAAUCAUGGAGAGGGUCAACUGGACAUUCCUCCAAUGCUUUCUUGAUCUAUGAGGUUUUUACUCCAAUAUCUGACUCCCAAAUUUUUAUUAAUAAUAGAACAAUUUAGAUAAGCACUUCAUCUGGUGUCUAACGUGCUACACGAAAUUGUGCUAACAAUAAUUCUGCUGCCACCACAGGACACACCAUUCCCUCACACUUCUGCUCCCUCCAAAUCUGCAGCAGCCACCAGCAGCUAUCCACCCUGGCCCUGAACGCCUUCUGCCACCAGCCUCAACCCGGAAUACUGCAGUCACAGUCACCUGAGGCCCAUACCCUCACAGGAAGCACCCUAGGCUUUCUCUGGAACUGUUUCCUGGGCGCCGCUGCACCAGCUCAGCUCACGUGCUCACCCCUGCUUUGGCUUCUGCUGCUGCUGCCAUUGCCACACACAGUCUGCACCCUCAAUCCUUGGAUGCACGUGAGCAGCUACCGGCGCCUUUAGCCCAGCCUGAGCAGCACCCAGGCACCGUGUCUCACUUCCAUACACACACAGCCACACCCUGACACUACACUGGCUAACCCUGCACAACUCCACCGUCGUUGCAGUCACUGCUGUGGACAAACGGAAAAGUCAGCAGAUCUGGAUCCAGAAAUACACACUGGGAAAAAAAGCAUCUUCAGCAAAUGGUGCUGUCAAACUGGAUGACUGCAUGUAGAAGGAUGAAAUAGAUUCAUACUUAUCACCCUGCGCAAAACUCAAGUCCAAGUGGAUCAAAGACCUCAACAUAAUCCAGGUACACUGAGCCUGAGAGAAGAGAAAGGGGGAGGAUCCUCAAAGCACUGACACAAGAGACGACUCUCCGAGCAGAGCAGCGGUAGCGCAGGUACUAAGAUCAACAAUGGGUACCGGGACCUCACAACUGAAACACUUCUGUCAGCAAAGGACACUGUCAAAGGGCAGCCUCUGAAUAGGAAAAGAUUUUUACCAAUUCCAUGUGUUGACAGAGAAAUAAUAUCCAAUAUUUAUAGAACUAUUGCUAGGCAGUGGUGGUGCACACCUUUAAGCUCAGCACUCAGGAGGCAGAAGCAGGAAGAUCUCUGUGAGUUCUAGGCCAGCCUGAUCUAUAGAAGUUCCAGGACAGUCUCC